CAAAUGGAAGAAGGAGAAACUGUGCUGACCCUGGAGCGGGAGAGCCUGAUCAUCACAGCUUCACAACUACAAACAGGGCAGGCACUGCAAAGGGGGACAGGCCGGGUGAGGGUAGCAGUCCCAGAGAACUGUCCUUGGUAGCAGUCCCGGAGAACUGUCCUUAAAACAAGGCUCCAGGGCCCGGCUCUGCCUCUCGGCUGGCUGUAGCCGUGAGCCCUGUUCUUUGGGUGGGUUUGGUUAUUUCAAGGGUGGAGUCAGUAGAAAGGAGGUAGAAAGUCUGAUCCCUACCCAGGCUGGCUGAAACUGGUUUUAGUAUUUGUACAGCUGGUGAAACACACUCUUUGAAGUUUCUGCUUAAACACAGAAGUUAGAAUUAACACCUGGGCGGAGAGGGAAAGCUUGGCCUGUCAACAUGGCUGCAACCCGCGGUGAUCCUCCUGCCUCCACCUCUUGAAAGGACGGCGUGUGUCACCAAGCCCAGCUCCAUUCGUGCUAAUUCUUACGAAGGGGAAGGACGAGUAUUGUUAUUUUUGAGAAGGAAAAGACAUGCUAUUUGAUGUGGUGCAGAUCUUGAAAAAUGACUUUGUUCUGUUCCCCCUAUAAUGACACCACAACAGGAGAAGUUGACAGGGAAGGGCUAAGAAGACUCCGUAGCCACCGUAGCCACCGUAGCCUAAGUUACAGCGAGGGGACGAGGCCACUUCAUUACAAGGCUGAGGGGCUAAGAGCCAUACAGAUCUCUGACUGACAGACAGGCAGGAAAAGGGGCCACAGAUAGAGAAGAAAGACGGCAAACUCUUGGCCUCUCCUUCACUCUCUUGACCUGAAGGGAAUAAUGCCUUCCUGUCUCCAGGCAGACUUGCUUGUUGUUUUGGGGUUUCUGACUUGCAGCCAACGAGAGCCAGAUCUGUGGAGAGGGGCUCCCUUGCUUCCCACAGCCCCUUCUUUUCCCUCAACUUUCUGUCCUGCCUCAACAACAUUUCAAAUUUGCCAGCGCUGUUUUGAAAAAACCACUGCCCCCACACUGAGAGCAAGGCUGCUAGGGUCAGAGCGCAUAGCAGAAGAAUGUGCUUUCAGUUUCUCUCAUAAUUGCUGGGAAAUCAAAACUUAAGUACUCCCUGGUGGCGCAGUCCCAGCUGAAGCAACAGCUUCUGCCUUCCUGGAAACAUCCUUGAUGCACUGCUAGGAGACCAGGACCAGGACAGCAUCCAGGGAGGGACUAUUUGUAUUGAUACUCAGAUGCGGUUUCUGUCUGUGCUGAGCAUCCAGGCCAGAAUGUACCCAAGGUGCUGGUCAGAUGUCAAACGCUCUCUUCCUGGUCUCCACACUCUCAGAAACAAAGGGACGGGGACACCAAGUGCCUCCUGCCCCUCUCAGGCUCCCAGUUGCCUCUGACUUUCGUCUGGAUUCCUCAACGGUACAUGCCUCUGUUGACAGGGUCAUGCAAACUCAGCUCUCGUGUUAACAAGGCCAUAGAAGCUCUUCUCUGUAAGUUGCUCUUUGUACUGCUCCAACAGGAAGGAACGCCUGGUCCUUCAUGCCAGCCACUGCCCCUUGUUGACGUUGUCUGCUGUUGGAAGAGACACAACCCCGAGACUCCUUCCAAUGGGUUCAGCAGGCCGUGUGUUCCUCUCUUAGGGUUCUAAUGCUGGAAUAGUUUCUAAUCAAGUCUAACGUGGUGGUUGUUGUGCUUUACUCGGUGCUUUCGGUGAGAGAGGAGGAACAAGUAUGUUGUUAGGCUUUAUCAUAUAAGCGAUUUAAGGUAUGUUAGGCUAUGACAAAGGGAGACAGAGUAGAACCAUUAAUAACCGACCAUUAAUCGACUCGAGCCAGGGAGGGCUCUAUAAUUGUAGAACAUGGAAAGCAAGAACGCGUGUGCGAUUCAGGCGUGCUUUCCUGUGGUGGUUGGGUCUGCCGUGUAUUAAUGCUCUCUGGUCAGAAUGUUAAUGUUUUACAGGAAUAAUCUCAUCUGAUCCUUAAAACCCCAUAAUAUGUUCUGUUAUCUCCAUUUUAUUGUGGAAACAAGGAUACUUAUAGGGGCUAAUUAUUGCCCAAGGUCCACAUGGCUAGCGGGCCAGACAAGGUCUGUAAUCACAUCUGUCUGCCACCAGUCGACUAUUUAUCUGUGCUGUACAGAGUCAGGAAAGCCAUCGACUUCUCAGAAUAAUGUUUGCGGUUGGGGUUUUUGGUUUGUUUAUGUGGGAUUCUUCAGGGCGGGGGGCCGGGGGUUAGAAAGUGUGUGCUCUGCCGUUGAAGUCGGUCCUCAGCAGCAAACGGUUUUUAAGCGCCACUGCUCUGAAGUCGGAAUAAAACAAAGCGGAUAGAAGAAAAAGGAGGAGGAGGCUGGGGAUUUAGCUCAGUGGUAGAGCGCUUGCCUAGGAAGCGCAAGGCCCUGGGUUCGGUCCCCAGCUGGGGGUGGGGGGGAGAAAAAGGAGGAGGAGGAAGGGGAGAAAGAAAAAAAAAAGGAUAGGAAAGAAGGAACAGAAAGGGCAAUUAAUUCUCUUGAAAGGAGGAAGGAAGCAGCCUCUCUGAAGGUGGCUCCCCGGAGCCUGUUGCCCUACCACACACAAACCUUUCUUUGCCUUGCUUGAUUUGCAAACAAAAGUGAAACUUAGCUGGGGCCAGUUCCUUACAAUGCCGUUUUAAGGUAAAACAAGACUUAAAUUCAACCAGCCACAAGCUCCCAACGGACUCAAGAAUUCCUGGCAAAGUGGAGCAGACCAGGAAUCUACACUACUCUCUGUUAGAUCUUUCCUUUGCUUCCAGGAAGAUUCGUCCUGAACAAACGACACUUUCCUCCCCUGUCUUCCCUCACCCCCAAACCACCAUCUUUGGUCUCCCUGAUACUCGAAUCACAGUUUGCUGUGACAGGCUCUUGACAUUUCACUGUGUCGACUGGACACUUCUCAGUGGUCAAAAACGCAGCCUCUUGGGUAACUCAGCAGUGAGAAAAGCGUCCAAAGUGAAGGAAGGGAGCUGGAGAGGAUUGCGUUCCAGGGGAUCCAGGUUCGAUUCCCAGCCCCCGCAAGGUGGCUUACAACCAUCCAUAACUCCAGUCCCGGGGGAUCCAACGCCAUCUUCUGGCCUCCCUGGGCAUCAGACAUGUGGUGCACAGACACACAUGUAAGCAAAAACACUUGCACACACAAUAUAAAAGCAAACCUUAAAUAAAAAUGGUGAAGGAAAUACAUGUUCACCUUGGAGGCCAACCAAACCGUGAGGACCGUGAAAGAUCCUCAGGAUGGUGUGUGUCGGGAUAGAAUCACGGCUUGAGUCCCUGACAGAAGGACAGACCACAUCAGGCCAAUACAGUCCCAAGUAGAAGAGGUUUAUUGAGGAUGAUGGAGACAGAAGGGACGGAGUUGGGGGGGGGGGGAGAAAGAAGAAAAAGAGAACGAGGGGGAGGAAGGGCCUGCCUUUUAUUUAAACUGUGACAUAAUUGCUCCCAGGUGAAGGUGGGAGCUGAACCAAAUGUAUGCUGGGAAUGUAUGGCCAUUGCCAUGGCAACAGAUGUGCCUGCAGGUGGCGUCACUGCUGGAGAUGGAAAGUGGUUCCUGAUACCAACAUAAUAUAGCUGGGAUAUGUGCUCAUCUUGGACCUGGAACCAGACCCAAAUGUACCACAAAAUGGCGGCUGGAAGGAGGAGGGACAAGUUGGAACAGGCUUCUAAGAGGAUGGGGUGAAUCCUUCAGGCGCUACAAAGGAGAAGUUGCCACUAACUCCUCAAGGCCAGGAUGCAGAUGAAUGUCUGAAGCUCCAACCUUCUGACACAGGCUCGGAGAGAGAACAGAAAGUACUUCUGGGAGGAAGUGGCUCAGAGCCAUCUAGUUAGAACUCUCUUAAGUUCAAGAGAACUUCCUUGAAGUCACAUGCUUAAUUCGAAAAACGUAAACUUUUCUUUUUACCUUACCGUUGUAUCGGCAUGAAAAUCUUUUUACACGAAACUA
Molecule: non-coding RNA, 3947 nt
Organism: Rattus norvegicus (Norway rat)
Lineage: Eukaryota; Metazoa; Chordata; Mammalia; Rodentia; Muridae
Source: RefSeq, a predicted model, not a curated record